AGAGUUUGAUCCUGGCUCAGAGUGAACGCUGGCGGCGUGCUUAACACAUGCAAUCGCACGAGAAAGGGCUUCGGCCUGAGUAAAGUGGCGCACGGGUGAGUAACACGUGAAUACGUCCCUCCGGAUGGGGAAUAACGUUCCGAAAGGAGCGCUAAUACCGCAUAAGACCACCCGCCACAAGACGGUGAGGCCAAAGCAGCAAUGCGUCUGGAGAUCGGUUCGCGUCCCAUAGGUAGUUGGCGGGGUAAUGGCCCACCAAGCCAAAGAUGGGUAGCUGGUCUGAGAGGAUAUCAGCCACAUUGGGACUGAGACACGGCCCAAACUCCUACGGGAGGCAGCAGUGGGGAACUUGCGCAAUGGGCGAAAGCCUGACGCAGCAACGCCGCGUGAGUGAUGAAGGCCCUCGGUCGUAAAGCUCUGUCAGAAGGGAAGAAUAAAUGACGGUACCUUCAAAGGAAGCACCGGCAACUCCGUGCCAGCAGCCGCGGUAA
Molecule: ribosomal RNA, 491 nt
Filed under: uncultured delta proteobacterium
Lineage: Bacteria; Deltaproteobacteria
Description: bacterial SSU rRNA
Rfam family: Bacterial small subunit ribosomal RNA
Source: RNAcentral